This is a long non-coding RNA of Macrobrachium nipponense, 6521 nucleotides long. RefSeq lists it as uncharacterized. Lineage: Eukaryota; Metazoa; Arthropoda; Malacostraca; Decapoda; Palaemonidae. The transcript is spliced from 2 exons. The record is from RefSeq and is a predicted model, not a curated record.
AGCAGGCAGAGUUUAGCAACAGAUUCCCUUAGGGUGUAAGUUCUAAGGUCAAUGUAAAGUUACACCAGUGACAGAUGAGUAGCGAUAAUAGGUUGCGUAGUGUUUAGGAAGAGGAGUUUUAUUUCCUGCUUCGAGUUCUUUGCAACAGAAGGUGUCUAGUCUGUGGUUGGUCAUUUGGAUGUGGUUUCUGGUUUAUCGGGUUUUGCUGAGUUGUUGGAUAGAGCUCCUUUGUCUUCAAAGGUUCCUUUUCCUUUCUGUGGCUAAGCUUGGUUUGUCUUGUGGUAGUAGUAAUCCUGGUGAUCAGGUUGUUGAUUUGGCUUUAUUCAUAUACAGUCUGGUAUUAUUAAUCAGUUAAAUCUCUAGCCAAUGCAUGUUGACUUAUGAUAAUUCAGUACAAGAGAAAUUGAAUAACAUUAACAACUGUAGUCCAGCCUAAAGUAUACUUUAUACUACAUAUCGGUAGACUACUAAAAUUGGCCAAUCCUGGAGGUUCAGUACAUUCUGACUUGAUGAUGAUUCAGUACCAGAAUAAUUGAACACGAAACGAGAAUUGAAUUGUAUGAUAUUCGAUACAAAAAUGUAAUUAAACAAGAACGAGAAUCAGAUUCGGUCCGACUUCAGCAUUGUUGGACUGUGUAGGCUUGCCAGCAUUGUAAUCCAGUAUUGUAUGUGUCCUCAUAUUAUCGUAUUGUAAAUUCUAAUAUAGCGGUCAUAUUUUGGUUCGGGAUUCAAUCAUUCAUUUGAUGGCUGAUGCGAGUUACCUCGCCUUAUUUAACUCAUUCUCAGGCGAGGUAAAUAGAGGAAAGUAGUGUUAUUCCCCUAGAGCAUCUUGGCUCUGAUUGGCUAGCUCGGACUGACGUAACUAAGCUUCUCCCCACCUAUACUAUGCUUUCGUCUUCCAGUAGUCAAGCGGGAAAAUGGUCUCAUAACUAUCUUGACAUUUUAACAUGGCUCAUAAUGGUAUCUUGUGUCAUAUAAAUCAGAAAUCAUAAGGAAUUUGUACAUUUCAUUACUUUCCAAGAAUAUUCCCUCGGGUGACGGAAUUAGGUAGUGUGACGUCAUCUGGAUACUUAACUUAAUGGAAUGAAGUCAUAUUGUUCAACUAAUAUGUCUCAUGGUAGCUUUUUUUCCCCUUUGUUAAUACAUUGCGUAAAUUUCGGUGAUUCCGUUCAUUUUCAUUCGUUUUCAUCGGUAUUACGAGCUUUACAUUAUUUUUUUAUUAGUGUGAAAACAACCGUAAAUGAGCUCUAUUAUGCUAGUAGUCUCUCUCUCUCUCUCUCUCUCUCUCUCUCUCUCUCUCUCUCUCUCUCUCUCUCUCUCUCUCUCUCAUUUUACCACGGCUGUGUUUGAAUUCAUAUAAAACUUUGGGAGUUUUAUCCAUGUUGCCAAUGCACGUAAUAUUACCUUAUCAAUUUCAGCUACUUGUGUAUAACAUACAUACGGUAAGUGUUUACUGUCGUACACUGAUUGAAUAAAAUAAACGGAUGUUGCUAUCAGAUUUGAUUGUAUUGGCAAACAGUGUAGUUUCUCGUUCAGUUGUUCAUGGCUGUACAGUUUUACAACUAGUAUAUCGUUAAGACAAUACUUAUUAACUUAGAAGAUGGUAUAAAGAUAUGGAGGUAGAGAAGUUAGAUGAUUGUAAUUUGGCCUCUCUGUCUGCCUUCCUUUUACUUUCCUUCUUUCAUAUUCUCCUUCAUCUUACUUUCCACCCUCUCCUAACACUUCAUUAAUAGUGCAACAGAGGUUUUUCCUCCUGUUACACCUUUCAACGUUAUACGUACUGUCAAUUUCAUUUCAGCACUGAAUGACCUCAUAGGUCCCAUUACUACUUUGGCCUAAAUUCUAUAUUCAACUCGACUCUCUCGCUGCCUAACUGCAUGCUGUUGCCUGCGCCAGCUGCGCGCGAGAUAUAGAAACUUAUUUUCAAAAUGUAGUAGUGCCAGCAUUAAUUACUAACCCCCAUCGUAAAGUCGAAUUAGUCGUAACAUCAAGAUUAUCGUGGGGAACAAUCUUCUUUAUCAGGUCAUUCUUCGGAGGUCACUUCGGUGUCUUCUCUCGCUCAUCCUGUUUCUUUGCCAUUAACAUAGCAGAGCAAAGAGUUUUCAUCAUUUUAAUCCUGAAAUUUUGGGGGUUUCGACGACUCCCUCUCUCUCUCUCUCUCUCUUCGGGGUUGAGGGAAGUAAUUUUGGCUGGGCUGUCGUAUUAACACCUUCCAUGGGUCCUGUAAUUUUCAGGCUGCUUGUCUGGAUGUUUCACAGGCUGUUGCAGAGUCUUCCGCAACUCCAUAAUUUCAUCCUUUACUGGGUUUGAGAUGUAAUGUGUCCUCUGUGGUUCUUGCAGGGGAUACGGCAGCUCAUGAUUCGUCUGCACCAUUGUUGACUGUAUCGGUACCGAUUGUGUCCUCAGCCCCUCCUUUCAAUAGCUUAGGUGGCAAUCUUCCUUCUUAGUUUCCCAUUUUUAUACUUUCUGGGUUUGAGACAUAUCAUGCCUACCGCGGUUAUUGCAGGGUGCUACGGCCAUUGGCAGUUCGUCUGCACCAUAGUUAGUACCUUUUGUUCCCUCAGCCUCCUUUCGUUAUGGUAGCUGGUAAUUUCCGUCUACGGCUCCCAUUGGUUCCACAGUUUGUAACCUGUUAUUAAAGGCACAAUGUUGGUGUUAGGUGCUCCGGUGGUUACUCUGAGUGUGACUUCUUUCUAUCUCAACCUUUUCCAGCGGCUUUUUCUGUUCCUCCUUCAAGGGGUUCAUGUGGGUUUGGCCUUGGUUCCAGGGUUUUCGGGAGUAUGGCCUUCCCUCACUUGAUCAAUGUAGCUUCAGCUCUGGACUCUCAUCUUGGUUUAGUGUUGGUGUAACAGGGGUUUGUGGAUCGCGUUUUGCAGCCUCUCCAUUCUUAGAGGGCAUUGCUUGCCCAUUUGUAGUCGGAAAGGUAUUAUGUCAUAGUCACUGGCUGGUGCAGGGUUUAGCAGUCGAGUGAGACUGGCUCAAGGUUAUAGUCAUCGUCUUUGGUUGGUACACGUUCGGCUCAACAGUGUGGUUGACUAUUUGGGGGUGGGUGUUCAUCACCAAGGUUUAUUCGACACAGGUGUUACAUUAUCGUCACUGGGUAGUGCGGGUAUGCCCAGUAGAGCGAGACUAGCUCAGUGUUAUGUCAGUCUUCAGUUGAUACACAAUUUGUGGAACUGGGAACGGUUGGCCAGGUGUUACGUUAUUGUGUCCGGGGGGGUUGCGGCCGUGCAGGUUGCUCAGUCGAGUACGACUAACUCAGAAGUCAUGAAUUUAUCAUCGUUUUGUUGAUAUGUUGUUGUGCAACCCAAUCGGUUGGCUCAGAUAUGAUGGGAUCCUGUAUGUCAGGUAUUGGUGUGAGCAACUAGGUGUAGUAAGUUCCAUGUUCUUUGGUGCUGCUUUUGUGGGUGUUCAGCGCUUCUUCUUUUCUUGUUCCAGUGUGGUUGGACAGGACUUAUAGAGCAUACCCUUUGAAGGGACAAUCAGUUGCUAGUUGUGGGUGUUUUUGUCUCCAGCUAAGGAAAGCAGUAGAAACGGAUGGUGGAUUUUGUCCGUUCUCUUUUUCCGCAGGCCAGGCUCCAGAGGAACCUCUCAGUUAGUUCAAGCAAUGUUUGAUACGUUGUAUUCAAGUAAUCCAGUAGUCUUAAAAUUCAAGUAAGCUGAUCUGGUUUUGGCCGAGUUGGGCAGCUUUUGGGGGAGAUGACUUUAGACUAGCAUCCCUUAUGGGGCCGAGAGGCUGGAUUCAACCUUGCUUCCUAACCGGAAGUGUUCUGUAUGAGGUAGCGGGUAACCCUUCUGCCAGUGUCCGAGUUCCACUUUAUGAAUCUGUUGAGGCUCUUCUCUCUUGGGUUCCUUCAUUGACUUGUGUGGUAGGGAUUGCAGAUUGCGAGGCUUGCAUUUGGAAGACACCUUUCACAGCCAUCAGAAGCCUUGUCCCACUCUUUGUGGAUGUUUUGAAAGUUGAUGUGUGUUUCUCUGAUCCUGGACUGUUUGACAACCUCAUCACUUCGGUUUCGAGGGGUUUUGCAUACCGGACUAACAUUUCAGCUGGCUGUACUACGUUCUUGUCAAGGAGAGGAGGGACUUGUUAAAUCAUCUGCCUUCUCACUGUCCGGACAUGCAUAAGGAGGUUCUGUUGAGGCUGCCUCUUGAGCUCAGCAGCAGUCGUUUAGAAAACAAGAAGUCUCCUUGAUGGGCAAUUUCGUGUCGUCACCAUCAUAAGUAGAGUAGCAGCAGCAUCGUUGGAUGAUUGUAUAGCAGAUGACUGACCACAAAUGCUGCUGUUUCAAGUUCGAGCUCUCAAAGUUUAUUUGUCACGUACUGAGGAACUUUUACCUUGUCCGAGAAUCUUAUUUGGUUUCCCCUAGGUAGCCAUCUCGUUCCAUUUCCCAAGUCCAAUCAGUUUCUUCUUGCGAGAGGUUUUUAGUCAAGCGUCAGUUGGUUCUUCUUCACUUUCGGAGCCUUCAAGUUGUGCUUUGCAUCCAAGGGCGCAAAGUAUCACAGAUGGCUACCCUGCAGCGUUGGUAAUGCUGACAGUUAAAAAAAACGUGGGUAAAUCUGUAGGGAUGUAGUUCGGGCUGGUCAGUGGCUAAUUCAGGUGUUCAGUAAGUAUUACAAUAUUAGUUUUAUUUUGAAAACUUCAUAUUACAUUUAAAAGUGUAAUGCAAUAUACAGGGACCAGAUGUUAACUACUGUUGGAAAAAAAUAGGAUGAGAGCAAGUAACUACAGACUGUAAGUAGAAUAAUGUAGAGGAGUAUAGUAAGCUUGAAGAAAUAGUAUAGAUGGUGCUGUGUUUAGAAUACUUUGGCUAGUAAAAGUUUUAUGUACUUAAGAUAUGUUGUACAACUGUGGUAUAUUAAAAUGAAAAAGGUUAAGCCAAGAAAUAUUAGGUACACUAGCUAGGUGAUAUUUAGCAUUUAUAAAAAAGCUUUUAACCUUUAUGUAAAGUGAUGACAUUUUAAUGUUAACUGUUAAUGGAUGGACUUCGAAUUGGCCAUCUCAGGACUGAGUUCUGCUCGUAACUUCAAGGGGCCAUGUAUUACGUCUCUGUUUCACAUGCCGUCUUUGUAAAUUUUCCCGUAAAUAUACCAAGGGGAUGCUGUUGGUUUUUGUUCUUGUCUUUUACGAUAGUAUGUCGGUUGUAAAUGUAAUUUUACAAAGAAAAGUGCAAAGAAAUAUUAGAAAAAACAUGUAAAAGUAAAAAAAGAAGUUACUGAAUCUUCGUUCUCGGUAAAUUUACGUAAAUAGUUUUAAACAAUUAUGCUAAGAUUUUGUUACUGAUGUUAUUUCUUAUCUGUUUUGAUAUUGCAUGAACAGAAAUUAUAAUUUUACAAAAUAAAAAAAAAUUAUUUAUUAGGAAAAACAUAAGUUAGUAAAAUUUAUGAAGUCUUGUAAAAGUGGCCCCACAAGGGGUUGUAAAUAGUCCUUUUCAACUUCUCGUGGAAGGUAGGGAAAAUUUGAAACUAAGUAAAUUAUACCUGUGCUUGCCAUUAAUUCAUUACACUUUUAAAACUCAUCAUCUUAACAAAUGGCAGGUAUUGUGGGGUAGCAAGGUUGACAGUAAUAUUAAAACAUUAGGCCAACAGCUGAAUGGCAAGAGUUGUUAUUACUGAAAAAAACACCAAAUUAAAAUUGCUGUAUAUAAUCCUUUGUUUGAAUUUGCCACGUCAUUUUGUGGUUAUUUGAUGAAUAACCCACAUGAUCCUGAAUGCAGAGAAACACUUAUAACCAAAUCUUAAUGGACUAUUAAAUUUUCAGCCAGCAGUAUAAUAUCAAGUAUGAACUCGGAAACGAGACCUCUGAAAGUUGUGUCAGUCUUCAACAAUUUCAGUUUACCUCAUUAUAUUUUUAAGGUAUGGCAGUAUAUUGAAUAAGAUUUAUUAAAUACAUUAAGCACAAACCCUAUGGGCCAUCCAUAUAAAAGUUGAGCAGUGCUAUGAAGAAGAAUGAUUAUUUUACUUUUAUGUAAUAAAGCUUUAUUUUUUUAAGUUCUGUUUGAAUAACCAUGACAGUCCUAGUGAAAAGAAUGCAAUCCUUAGUAGUGAAAAAUAUUUUGAGAAUGAGUUUUCUUUUACAGGCAGCAGAGCUUUGAUACAAGUAGUACACCUUCAAUAACUUCUGGCAAUCUUCAGUAUUAUUAAUAGGGGUUAGUUUUUCCAGACCUCUGAGUCUACUUGAGACUCAGAGGUCUGGAAAAACUAACUCCUAUUAAUAAUAAUUCAGUAUUUCUAAGUUAUUUGAAGUUGGAAUUUAUUUGAAAGAUAUUUUGAUUUUUAAUAAAUCUUGGACUGUCAUGAGAAGUUGAGACUCAGAUUAUUGGUGUAAUUAAGAUUUCAAAAUAUAAGAAAUAUAUGGGCAUAAACUUUUAUUAAGCCUAGUGUAGAUACCUUAAGCCAAUUUUUCAUGUAUAAAGCAAAGUUUACUAGCCUACUAUAUUGCGUGUGCUGAUAUUUUGCCAUUUUUCUUUUUAAUAGUUUAGAUUCAUUUUGCAAACAUUAUUUUUUAUUUUUUCCUCUUGAAA